This 254-nucleotide ribosomal RNA is filed under the name uncultured bacterium. RNAcentral's name for it is "partial 16S ribosomal RNA". It matches the Rfam family "Bacterial small subunit ribosomal RNA", at positions 524 to 776 of the family's 1533-position model. The record is from RNAcentral.
UACGGAGGAUCCAAGCGUUAUCCGGAAUUACUGGGCGUAAAGAGUUGCGUAGGUGGCAUAGUAAGUAGAUAGUGAAAUCGUGUGGCUCAACCAUGCAUCCAUUAUCUAAACUGCUGAGCUAGAGUAUGAGAGAGGUAGAUGGAAUUCCCUGUGUAGGAGUGAAAUCCGUAGAUAUAGGGAGGAACACCGAUGGCGUAGGCAGUCUACUGGCUCAUUACUGACACUAAGGCUCGAAAGCGUGGGUAGCAAACGGG